This 240-nucleotide unclassified non-coding RNA is filed under the name soil metagenome. RNAcentral describes it as "partial contains 5.8S ribosomal RNA, internal transcribed spacer 2, and large subunit ribosomal RNA". The record is from RNAcentral.
AACGGUCUAUACCUGCGGUACCUGCGGAAGGAUCAUUACCGAGUUAUCAACUCCCAAACCCCUGUGAACAUACCCGAACGUUGCCUCGGCGGGACCGCCCCGGCGCCCCUAGCGGCCCGGAACCAGGCGCCCGCCGGAGGACCCAAACUCUUGCUCUAAACAGUGGCAUACUCUCUGAGUCUCACAAACAAAAAAUAAAUCAAAACUUUCAACAAUGGAUCUCUAGAUCGGAAGAGCACA